AAUUUCUUUAAUGCAUUGGAUCCCAACCAGGGACGAUUUUGUCCCCCAGAGGACAUCUGGCAGUGUCUGAAAACAUUUUUGGUUGUCACAACUGGGAGUUGCUACUGGCAUCUAGUGGGUAGAGGCCAGAGACGCUGCUAAACA
Molecule: non-coding RNA, 144 nt
Organism: Ceratotherium simum simum (southern white rhinoceros)
Lineage: Eukaryota; Metazoa; Chordata; Mammalia; Perissodactyla; Rhinocerotidae
Source: RefSeq, a predicted model, not a curated record